Molecule: ribosomal RNA, 497 nt
Filed under: uncultured bacterium
Lineage: Bacteria
Description: partial 16S ribosomal RNA
Rfam family: Bacterial small subunit ribosomal RNA
Source: RNAcentral
GAUGAACGCUGGCGGCGUGCCUAAUACAUGCAAAUCGAGCGAACGGACGAGAAGCUUGCUUCUCUGAUGUUAGCGGCGGACGGGUGAGUAACACGUGGAUAACCUACCUAUAAGACUGGGAUAACUUCGGGAAACCGGAGCUAAUACCGGAUAAUAUUUUGAACCGCAUGGUUCAAAAGUGAAAGACGGUCUUGCUGUCACUUAUAGAUGGAUCCGCGCUGCAUUAGCUAGUUGGUAAGGUAACGGCUUACCAAGGCAACGAUGCGUAGCCGACCUGAGAGGGUGAUCGGCCACACUGGAACUGAGACACGGUCCAGAGUCCUACGGGAGGCAGCAGUAGGGAAUCUUCCGCAAAGGGCGAAAGCCUGACGGAGCAACGCCGCGUGAGUGAUGAAGGUCUUCGGAUCGUAAAACUCUGUUAUUAGGGAAGAACAGAUGUGUAAGUAACUGUGCACAUCUUGACGGUACCUAAUCAGAAAGCCACGGCUAACUACGUG